Molecule: ribosomal RNA, 848 nt
Filed under: uncultured bacterium
Lineage: Bacteria
Description: bacterial SSU rRNA
Rfam family: Bacterial small subunit ribosomal RNA
Source: RNAcentral
GGCUCAGAAUCAACGCUGGCGGCGCGCUUAACACAUGCAAGUCGCACGAGAAAGGGGAGCAAUCCCUGAGUAAAGUGGCGUACGGGUGAGUAACACGUGGAUAAUCUACCUUCUAGUGGGGAAUAACCCAGGGAAACCGGGGCUAAUACCGCAUAAGCUCGAGAGAGGAAAGCAGCAAUGCGCUGGAAGAGGAGUCCGCGGCCGAUUAGCUAGUUGGCAGGGUAAAAGCCUACCAAGGCAUAGAUCGGUAGCCGGCCUGAGAGGGCACACGGCCACACUGGCACUGAAACACGGGCCAGACUCCUACGGGAGGCAGCAGUGGGGAAUCUUGCACAAUGGGGGAAACCCUGAUGCAGCGACGCCGCGUGAGCGAUGAAGCCCUUCGGGGUGUAAAGCUCUUUCGGCAGGGAAGAUUAUGACGGUACCUGCAGAAGCAGCUGCGGCUAACUACGUGCCAGCAGCCGCGGUAAUACGUAGGCAGCGAGCGUUGUUCGGAGUUACUGGGCGUAAAGGGUGUGUAGGCGGUUGUUUAAGUUUGGUGUGAAAUCUCCCGGCUCAACUGGGAGGGUGCGCCGAAUACUGAAUGACUAGAGUGCGGGAGAGGUGAGUGGAAUUCCUGGUGUAGCGGUGAAAUGCGUAGAUAUCAGGAGGAACACCGGUGGUGUAGACGGCUCACUGGACCGUAACUGACGCUGAGACACGAAAGCGUGGGUAGCAAACAGGAUUAGAUACCCUGGUAGUCCACGCCCUAAACGAUGCAUAUUUGGUGUGGGCAGUUCAUUCUGUCCGUGCCGGAGCUAACGCGUUAAAUAUGCCGCCUGGGGAGUACAGUCGCAAGGCUGAAACUU